CCACAAGCUCAGGUAAGUGUAUAAUUGUACCGUUUAAAAAAAAACAACAAAGUUUUACCUAUCAAUUAUUUAAUCAUAAUAAUACAAUGCAGUGUGCAUUGCCAGGGCAACAGCAUCAUCCGUGGACCUGUUUACUUGAACUUUAACGAUGGUGACCUGGAGGAGGAUCUCGAUAAUUUUCGACAUCUUUCCAAGGCGGUGGAUCUGACUUUCAGGAAAAUUCUCUAUGUGACUAGACGUGGUUCAAACAGUCAAUGUAAGAGUGUUCAGUCAUUGUAUAAAAAACGUUUGAAUUUG
Long non-coding RNA from Astyanax mexicanus (Mexican tetra), 297 nucleotides. RefSeq lists it as uncharacterized. The transcript has 2 exons. NCBI's taxonomy places the organism in Eukaryota, Metazoa, Chordata, Actinopteri, Characiformes, Acestrorhamphidae. The record is from RefSeq and is a predicted model, not a curated record.